This is a non-coding RNA of Tuber magnatum (white Piedmont truffle), 70 nucleotides long. The record is from the annotation of a GenBank genome assembly. NCBI's taxonomy places the organism in Eukaryota, Fungi, Ascomycota, Pezizomycetes, Pezizales, Tuberaceae.
ACCCGGCGUAAUGGUAUCGUUUCAGAAGUCUAAACUCUGAACGGUGUGGGUUCGACUCCCGCCCCGGGUU